UCCCCAGUGGUCCAGUGGGUAAGACUCUGCACUCCUAAUGCAGGGGGCCUGGGUUCGAUCCCUGGUUGGGGAA
This 73-nucleotide transfer RNA is filed under the name Tursiops truncatus (common bottlenose dolphin). Its description in RNAcentral is "tRNA-Arg (CCT) (tRNA-Arg-CCT-9-1)". It matches the Rfam family "tRNA". From Rfam's summary of the family: Transfer RNA (tRNA) molecules are approximately 80 nucleotides in length. The record is from Rfam by way of RNAcentral. RNAcentral also lists the same sequence under 3 other names. Lineage: Eukaryota; Metazoa; Chordata; Mammalia; Artiodactyla; Delphinidae.